CCUACGGGAGGCUGCAGUGGGGAAUAUUGCACAAUGGGGGAAACCCUGAUGCAGCGACGCCGCGUGAGUGAAGAAGUAUUUCGGUAUGUAAAGCUCUAUCAGCAGGGAAGAAAAUGACGGUACCUGACUAAGAAGCCCCGGCUAACUACGUGCCAGCAGCCGCGGUAAUACGUAGGGGGCAAGCGUUAUCCGGAUUUACUGGGUGUAAAGGGAGCGUAGACGGCAGCACAAGUCUGGAGUGAAAUGCCCGGGCUCAACCACGGAACUGCUUUGGAAACUGUGCAGCUGGAGUGCAGGAGAGGUAAGUGGAAUUCCUAGUGUAGCGGUGAAAUGCGUAGAUAUUAGGAGGAACACCAGUGGCGAAGGCGGCUUACUGGACGGUAACUGACGUUGAGGCUCGAAAGCGUGGGGAGCAAACAGGAUUAGAUACCCUUGUAGUC
RNAcentral lists this ribosomal RNA (440 nucleotides) under uncultured bacterium. Its description in RNAcentral is "partial 16S ribosomal RNA". It matches the Rfam family "Bacterial small subunit ribosomal RNA", at positions 338 to 795 of the family's 1533-position model. The record is from RNAcentral.